UGAGAGGGGGUACCCCCACACUGGUACUGAGACACGGACCAGACUCCUACGGGAGGCAGGAGUGAGGAAUAUUGGACAAUGGAGGAAACUCUGAUCCAGCCAUGCCGNGUGCAGGAUGACGGCCCUAUGGGUUGUAAACUGCUUUUAUGUAGGAAGAAACACUCUCACGUGUGAGAGCUUGACGGUACUACAAGAAUAA
RNAcentral lists this ribosomal RNA (199 nucleotides) under uncultured bacterium. RNAcentral describes it as "partial 16S ribosomal RNA". It matches the Rfam family "Bacterial small subunit ribosomal RNA", at positions 293 to 489 of the family's 1533-position model. The record is from RNAcentral.